GGAUCGGUCUCUUCUGUUCCGCGUCCUCCACCUCGGUAGCCCCUGGUGACUCUGUUACAGCCUCUGUUGACCUAUGAUCUGCAGGGAGACGCACAGCCAGGACAUCCUGGAACCUGGGAAAGGGUAUAUGCCCUCAUUUUGCUUAAGACCUCUGGCCAGAGCAGGGCAUGGAAGAUUCCUUUUAAAAAGUAAUACUGAGAAGACAUGAAAAAUGUGGACAUGAUAAUUUACUGUUGAGAAAUGGCUGUAAAAGUGUGGAUGAGUGUCAGGUGCACAAAGAAGGUUAUAAUGGACUUAACAAGUGUUUCACAACUACUCAGAGCAAAGUAUUUCAAUGUGGUAAAUGUUUGAAAGUCCUUUAUAAAUUUUUAAAUUCAAACAAAAAAUAAGAUAUACUGGAAGAAAACCUUUCAAAUGUCAAAAAUGUGUCAAAUCAUUUUGCAUGCUUUCACACAAAACCCAACAUAAAAGCAUUUAUACUAGAGAGAAGUCCUACAAAUGUAAAAAAUGUGGAAAAACCUUUAAUUGGUCCUCAAUCCUUACUAAUAAUAAGAAAAUUCAUACUGAACAGAAACCUUACAAAUGUGAAGAAUGUGGCAAAGCUUUUAAGCAACACUCAACCCUUACUACACAUAAAAUAAUUUGUGCUGAAGAAAAACUUUACAGAUGUGAAGAAUGUGGCAAAGCAUUUUGCCAGCCCUCAACCCUAACUAGAUAUAAGAG
This 723-nucleotide long non-coding RNA is filed under the name Homo sapiens (human). RNAcentral describes it as "non-protein coding lnc-ZNF726-5:2". Lineage: Eukaryota; Metazoa; Chordata; Mammalia; Primates; Hominidae. The record is from RNAcentral.